AAUUUAGAAAAAAAGAAAAUGUAUACAGGGCCCCAAUUGAAUGUCGGCGUAAAAGGGAAGGACCCACUUAACAAAUAACCCAUUUAAGGUGCAAAGGCACGGGUUCGGGUCUAGGAACGGUUUUACACGCGGAUCCCUUCCCCUGGAACGGUGCCGUUUCAUUAGCUGAACAAAAUCAAGCCUAAAACCCUAAAAUACAUUCAGCCACUUAAGAACAAAUCAAAGGAAAAAAAAACCUCAAGUCCUUCUCCUGCUUCAUUCGGCUGAACCAAAAAUAGAACCCUAACCUCCCCAUUUCAUUUCCCUCAGCCGAACCCUAUGCUUCCCUCUUAAGUGCCGAUCUGCCACCGUGAACGGCGACCAACAUGCUUAAGCCUCGGGGUUCUUCUCUUUUAACCUUGAGAUCCUCUUUAUACUUCGAUCUCGGCGAAGCAGAAGAGGUUUCACGGCAUAUUUACAAGGGACGGCAGAGAGUGGUUGAAGGCAGAAGGCAUGGGGCGAUGAGACUUAGCUAGGGUUUUUUUUAUUAUUUUUCUUUUGUUUUAUUUUUUUCUGAAAAUGUUGUGGCUGUUGGGCUUCGGGAAAAUUUGGGCAUUUACAAACAUAAUCUUUUUUUUUAGUUACUCCAAAUAGUUGACACUCUUAAUUAUUUUGGGUAAAAAUACUAUUUCAAACUUAUGUGUAUCGAAAUAUUUUUGUGUGUGUUAGAAAAGUGUACUUAUUUAUUGAAAUCGAUUUGUUUUGUGUUAAAAA
This is a long non-coding RNA of Gossypium arboreum, 753 nucleotides long. RefSeq lists it as uncharacterized. The record is from RefSeq and is a predicted model, not a curated record. NCBI's taxonomy places the organism in Eukaryota, Viridiplantae, Streptophyta, Magnoliopsida, Malvales, Malvaceae. The transcript has 2 exons.